This 3029-nucleotide ribosomal RNA is filed under the name Salmonella enterica. RNAcentral's name for it is "23S ribosomal RNA". It matches the Rfam family "Bacterial large subunit ribosomal RNA". The record is from RNAcentral. Lineage: Bacteria; Pseudomonadati; Pseudomonadota; Gammaproteobacteria; Enterobacterales; Enterobacteriaceae.
GGGUUGUGAGGUUAAGCGACUAAGCGUACACGGUGGAUGCCCUGGCAGUCAGAGGCGAUGAAGGGCGUGCUAAUCUGCGAUAAGCGCCGGUAAGGUGAUAUGAACCGUUAUAACCGGCGAUACCCGAAUGGGGAAACCCAGUGUGACUCGUCACACUAUCAUUAACUGAAUCCAUAGGUUAAUGAGGCGAACCGGGGGAACUGAAACAUCUAAGUACCCCGAGGAAAAGAAAUCAACCGAGAUUCCCCCAGUAGCGGCGAGCGAACGGGGAGGAGCCCAGAGCCUGAAUCAGCAUGUGUGUUAGUGGAAGCGUCUGGAAAGGCGCGCGAUACAGGGUGACAGCCCCGUACACAAAAGCGCAUGUGCUGUGAGCUCGAUGAGUAGGGCGGGACACGUGGUAUCCUGUCUGAAUAUGGGGGGACCAUCCUCCAAGGCUAAAUACUCCUGACUGACCGAUAGUGAACCAGUACCGUGAGGGAAAGGCGAAAAGAACCCCGGCGAGGGGAGUGAAAAAGAACCUGAAACCGUGUACGUACAAGCAGUGGGAGCCCCACCACCAAAGCAUUCUCUGGUGUUGAAGGCCCUGCAAAGCAGCAUCGCGGUGGCGGAGCGUCGUUUGCGACGCCCAACACACAAAACAAGCGGUGAAUGCUUUGGGGUGGGGUGACUGCGUACCUUUUGUAUAAUGGGUCAGCGACUUAUAUUCUGUAGCAAGGUUAACCGAAUAGGGGAGCCGGAGGGAAACCGAGUCUUAAUUGGGCGUUAAGUUGCAGGGUAUAGACCCGAAACCCGGUGAUCUAGCCAUGGGCAGGUUGAAGGUUGGGUAACACUAACUGGAGGACCGAACCGACUAAUGUUGAAAAAUUAGCGGAUGACCUGUGGCUGGGGGUGAAAGGCCAAUCAAACCGGGAGAUAGCUGGUUCUCCCCGAAAGCUAUUUAGGUAGCGCCUCGUGAAUUCAUCUCCGGGGGUAGAGCACUGUUUCGGCUAGGGGGCCAUCCCGGCUUACCAACCCGAUGCAAACUGCGAAUACCGGAGAAUGUUAUCACGGGAGACACACGGCGGGUGCUAACGUCCGUCGUGAAGAGGGAAACAACCCAGACCGCCAGCUAAGGUCCCAAAGUCAUGGUUAAGUGGGAAACGAUGUGGGAAGGCCCAGACAGCCAGGAUGUUGGCUUAGAAGCAGCCAUCAUUUAAAGAAAGCGUAAUAGCUCACUGGUCGAGUCGGCCUGCGCGGAAGAUGUAACGGGGCUAAACCAUGCACCGAAGCUGCGGCAGCGACGCUGAUGCGUUGUUGGGUAGGGGAGCGUUCUGUAAGCCUGUGAAGGUGUGUCGUGAGGCAUGCUGGAGGUAUCAGAAGUGCGAAUGCUGACAUAAGUAACGAUAAAGCGGGUGAAAAGCCCGCUCGCCGGAAGACCAAGGGUUCCUGUCCAACGUUAAUCGGGGCAGGGUGAGUCGACCCCUAAGGCGAGGCCGAAAGGCGUAGUCGAUGGGAAACGGGUUAAUAUUCCCGUACUUGGUGUUACUGCGAAGGGGGGACGGAGAAGGCUAUGUUGGCCGGGCGACGGUUGUCCCGGUUUAAGCGUGUAGGUGUGUGUUCCAGGUAAAUCCGGUUCACUUUAACACUGAGGCGUGAUGACGAGGCACUACGGUGCUGAAGCAACAAAUGCCCUGCUUCCAGGAAAAGCCUCUAAGCAUCAGGUAACAUCAAAUCGUACCCCAAACCGACACAGGUGGUCAGGUAGAGAAUACCAAGGCGCUUGAGAGAACUCGGGUGAAGGAACUAGGCAAAAUGGUGCCGUAACUUCGGGAGAAGGCACGCUGACACGUAGGUGAAGUGAUUUACUCACGGAGCUGAAGUCAGUCGAAGAUACCAGCUGGCUGCAACUGUUUAUUAAAAACACAGCACUGUGCAAACACGAAAGUGGACGUAUACGGUGUGACGCCUGCCCGGUGCCGGAAGGUUAAUUGAUGGGGUCAGCGCAAGCGAAGCUCCUGAUCGAAGCCCCGGUAAACGGCGGCCGUAACUAUAACGGUCCUAAGGUAGCGAAAUUCCUUGUCGGGUAAGUUCCGACCUGCACGAAUGGCGUAAUGAUGGCCAGGCUGUCUCCACCCGAGACUCAGUGAAAUUGAACUCGCUGUGAAGAUGCAGUGUACCCGCGGCAAGACGGAAAGACCCCGUGAACCUUUACUAUAGCUUGACACUGAACAUUGAGCCUUGAUGUGUAGGAUAGGUGGGAGGCUUUGAAGUGUGGACGCCAGUCUGCAUGGAGCCGACCUUGAAAUACCACCCUUUAAUGUUUGAUGUUCUAACGUGGACCCGUAAUCCGGGUUGCGGACAGUGUCUGGUGGGUAGUUUGACUGGGGCGGUCUCCUCCUAAAGAGUAACGGAGGAGCACGAAGGUUGGCUAAUCCUGGUCGGACAUCAGGAGGUUAGUGCAAUGGCAUAAGCCAGCUUGACUGCGAGCGUGACGGCGCGAGCAGGUGCGAAAGCAGGUCAUAGUGAUCCGGUGGUUCUGAAUGGAAGGGCCAUCGCUCAACGGAUAAAAGGUACUCCGGGGAUAACAGGCUGAUACCGCCCAAGAGUUCAUAUCGACGGCGGUGUUUGGCACCUCGAUGUCGGCUCAUCACAUCCUGGGGCUGAAGUAGGUCCCAAGGGUAUGGCUGUUCGCCAUUUAAAGUGGUACGCGAGCUGGGUUUAGAACGUCGUGAGACAGUUCGGUCCCUAUCUGCCGUGGGCGCUGGAGAACUGAGGGGGGCUGCUCCUAGUACGAGAGGACCGGAGUGGACGCAUCACUGGUGUUCGGGUUGUCAUGCCAAUGGCACUGCCCGGUAGCUAAAUGCGGAAGAGAUAAGUGCUGAAAGCAUCUAAGCACGAAACUUGCCCCGAGAUGAGUUCUCCCUGAGACUUUAGGUCUCCUGAAGGAACGUUGAAGACGACGACGUUGAUAGGCCGGGUGUGUAAGCGCAGCGAUGCGUUGAGCUAACCGGUACUAAUGAACCGUGAGGCUUAACCUUACAACGCCGAAG